GAUGAACGCUGGCGGCGUGCUUAACACAUGCAAGUCGAACGGAAAGGCUCCUGCUUGCAGGGGUACUCGAGUGGCGAACGGGUGAGUAACACGUGGGUGAUCUGCCCUGCACUUCGGGAUAAGCCUGGGAAACUGGGUCUAAUACCGGAUAGGACGAUGGUUUGGAUGCCAUUGUGGAAAGUUUUUCGGUGUGGGAUGAGCUCGCGGCCUAUCAGCUUGUUGGUGGGGUAAUGGCCUACCAAGGCGUCGACGGGUAGCCGGCCUGAGAGGGUGUACGGCCACAUUGGGACUGAGAUACGGCCCAGACUCCUACGGGAGGCAGCAGGGGGGAAUAUUGCACAAUGGGCGCAAGCCUGAUGCAGCGACGCUGCGUGGGGGAUGACGGCCUUCGGGUUGUAAACUCCUUUCGCUAGGGACGAAGCGCAAGUGACGGUACCUGGAGAAGAAGCACCGGCUAACUACGUG
This 465-nucleotide ribosomal RNA is filed under the name uncultured bacterium. RNAcentral describes it as "partial 16S ribosomal RNA". It matches the Rfam family "Bacterial small subunit ribosomal RNA", at positions 28 to 507 of the family's 1533-position model. The record is from RNAcentral.